Molecule: ribosomal RNA, 841 nt
Filed under: Sphaerellopsis paraphysata
Lineage: Eukaryota; Fungi; Ascomycota; Dothideomycetes; Pleosporales; Leptosphaeriaceae
Description: eukaryotic LSU rRNA
Rfam family: Eukaryotic large subunit ribosomal RNA
Source: RNAcentral
UGCCCUAGUAACGGCGAGUGAAGCGGCAACAGCUCAAAUUUGAAAUCUGGCUCUUUCAGAGUCCGAGUUGUAAUUUGCAGAGGGCGCUUUGGUGUUGGCAGCGGUCCAAGUUCCUUGGAACAGGACGUCACAGAGGGUGAGAAUCCCGUACGUGGUCGCUAGCCUCCGCCGUGUAAAGCCCCUUCGACGAGUCGAGUUGUUUGGGAAUGCAGCUCUAAAUGGGAGGUAAAUUUCUUCUAAAGCUAAAUACUGGCCAGAGACCGAUAGCGCACAAGUAGAGUGAUCGAAAGAUGAAAAGCACUUUGGAAAGAGAGUCAAAUAGCACGUGAAAUUGUUGAAAGGGAAGCGCUUGCAGCCAGACUUGCCUGUAGUUGCUCAUCUGGGCUUUUGCCCGGUGCAUUCUUCUGCAGGCAGGCCAGCAUCAGUUUGGGCGGUUGGAUAAAGGUCUCUGUCAUGUACCUCUCUUCGGGGAGGCCUUAUAGGGGAGACGUCAUGCAACCAGCCUGGACUGAGGUCCGCGCAUUUGCUAGGAUGCUGGCGUAAUGGCUGUAAGCGGCCCGUCUUGAAACACGGACCAAGGAGUCUAACAUCUAUGCGAGUGUUUGGGUGUCAAGCCCGAGCGCGUAAUGAAAGUGAACGGAGGUGGGAACCCUUUUGGGGUGCACCAUCGACCGAUCCUGAUGUCUUCGGAAGGAUUUGAGUAAGAGCAUGGCUGUUGGGACCCGAAAGAUGGUGAACUAUGCUUGAAUAGGGUGAAGCCAGAGGAAACUCUGGUGGAGGCUCGCAGCGGUUCUGACGUGCAAAUCGAUCGUCAAAUUUGGGCAUAGGGGCGAAAGACUAA